RNAcentral lists this transfer-messenger RNA (355 nucleotides) under Mollicutes bacterium. It matches the Rfam family "transfer-messenger RNA". Rfam says of the family: Bacterial tmRNA, also known as 10Sa RNA or SsrA, is named for its dual tRNA and mRNA-like properties. Its role is to liberate the mRNA from a stalled ribosome. Lineage: Bacteria; Bacillati; Mycoplasmatota; Mollicutes. The record is from RNAcentral.
GGGGAUGUUUAUAGGCUCGACAGAAAGAUUGGCUUAUUUGUGUGCAGUGGUUUGGUACACCUUAAUACCUCAAGGGUUGAUAACAGGAAAGACUCAACCAAGCAUUUAAUUAGUUUUUUUAAAGCUAAUUAGGGCUAAUUCAUAAUUUUUGAUUUUUAUGUUUUUAGUUCUUAAUCGUUAAAUCAAAUCGUUAAUAAAAAACGUUUCAUUUUUAUUAAUUAAAAUUUCCUGAAAAUAGUUUUAUUUUUUUUUGUUCUGUUUAAAAAAAUAAAAUGAAUCAAAUCAACAGAAAUAAACUGUAGAAAGCAAACAAGUUCCUUUUUGGAAGUGGGUGCAAAUCCCACCAUCUCCACCA